CUCAUUCUCCUUUCUUCUCCAUUCUUUUGAUUUUUUAAGAAACAGCCGAUUCUCGGCACAGAGUAGCUAAAAUUGAGAUAUUCAGCAGAAGAACUUCAUGAGCUGGUUAUUAGGUUAUCGAAUUAGGUCAUCUCAAGCUAAUGUAUUGUUUUGGGAAUUAUGUGAAAAUGUUUUUCUAUUGAGAAAGUUUCUCAUGAAGAUUUGCAUUCAGAGUAUGCUUACGAAGAAGAUGAUGUUUAUGUAAUGAAGAAGAAAAUGAUGAAUAGAGGAAGAUAGUAAAGUGAUUUCAGAAUGCAUUUUGGGUUUAUACACCUUGUGGUAUGGACACAUAUUGUGCUUCACAGUCUUUGCAUUUAUCGGAUAUAGAAGAUGACCAAGGAUACUAUAGUUCAGAGGUUCGGUUGAGGUCGAAUUUCUACGAUUACUUUUUCGGUGUGUUGGCUACAUAUUAUUGGUUUUUUGGUUAUGGGUAUAUCCUUAUUUGCUGGAUAAGAAUUUUCUGGUACUGCAGCAAUCUUAUUUGUUGGAAAUCCAAAGGAUACAUUGCCUACUAAUUGCACAGACGUUUAUCUACCCAUCCACCAAUCCAUUUUCGGCAUUUACCGAAGUUUCUCCUCCUUUGUUUACUCGUUAAUUUUUUAAGUCUUUUGUUCACGUUUGCUAAGGCUGCAUUCACUCCAAUGCACCCAUUUGAUUUUUACUUGACCAUUCUUUAAAUCCACACCGAUCUUUCCAUCUCGCUCUACGUUAGCCGUUUCGUAUGGCCCAGUUGCGAGUCUUGAAUCUCCUAAUUCUAUCUCUGUGUAUGCAUGUGUUUGAACAGUAUUUAGUUAGUACGUACUUAGUAAGUUUAACAACUACAUAUACAGAAAAACACAGGAAAAAGAAGUACGGGGAGUCUUGGGUGUGAUUGCGAUUUCGGUCAAGCACAACGGCAAAUAGAUUUCAUUUUUUUCUCAUUUUGACUUAUUGUGUUGACGACGAACAUAUGAUUGUACUCUUUAUACCCGUUAUGUCGUCGUGAAAAUGGUUCCAACAUUAUUUGUUAAUAUUGAAACCAACAAAAAAAAGUUGCAUAACUUGUCAUGC
Long non-coding RNA from Papaver somniferum (opium poppy), 1089 nucleotides. RefSeq lists it as uncharacterized. Lineage: Eukaryota; Viridiplantae; Streptophyta; Magnoliopsida; Ranunculales; Papaveraceae. The record is from RefSeq and is a predicted model, not a curated record. The transcript has 3 exons.